GGAACGUGCCUUUUGGUUCGGAAUAACUCAGGAAACUUGUGCUAAUACCGAAUGUGCCCUUCGGGGGAAAGAUUAUCGCCAUUAGAGCGGCCCGCGUCUGAUUAGCUAGUUGGUGAGGUAACGGCUCACCAAGGCGACGAUCAGUAGCUGGUCUGAGAGGAUGAUCAGCCACACUGGGACUGAGACACGGCCCAGACUCCUACGGGAGGCAGCAGUGGGGAAUCUUGCGCAAUGGGCGAAAGCCUGACGCAGCCAUGCCGCGUGAAUGAUGAAGGUCUUAGGAUUGUAAAAUUCUUUCACCGGGGACGAUAAUGACGGUACCCGGAGAAGAAGCCCCGGCUAACUUCGUGCCAGCAGCCGCGGUAAUACGAAGGGGGCUAGCGUUGCUCGGAAUUACUGGGCGUAAAGGGCGCGUAGGCGGAUCGUUAAGUCAGGGUGAAAUCCCGGGGCUCAACCUCGGAAUUGCCCUUGAUACUGGCGAUCUUGAGUAUGAGAGAGGUAUGUGGAACUCCGAGUGUAGAGGUGAAAUUCGUAGAUAUUCGGAAGAACACCAGUGGCGAAGGCGACAUACUGGCUCAUUACUGACGCUGAGGCGCGAAAGCGUGGGGAGCAAACAGGAUUAGAUACCUGGUAGUCCACGCCGUAAACGAUGAUUGCUAGUUGUC
RNAcentral lists this ribosomal RNA (665 nucleotides) under bacterium MS-AsV-49. RNAcentral's name for it is "bacterial SSU rRNA". It matches the Rfam family "Bacterial small subunit ribosomal RNA", at positions 121 to 824 of the family's 1533-position model. The record is from RNAcentral.